RNAcentral lists this transfer RNA (84 nucleotides) under Gemmatimonadota bacterium. Its description in RNAcentral is "Gemmatimonadetes bacterium (groundwater metagenome) tRNA-Val". It matches the Rfam family "tRNA". Rfam says of the family: Transfer RNA (tRNA) molecules are approximately 80 nucleotides in length. Lineage: Bacteria; Pseudomonadati; Gemmatimonadota. The record is from RNAcentral.
GCCGGCGUGGCGAAACUGGUAGACGCAGAUGCCUCACAAGCAUCUGGGCGAAAGCCCGUCCCGGUUCGAAUCCGGGCGCCGGCA